AGGGCACCAUCAGGAGUGGAGCCUGCGGCUUAAUUUGACUCAACACGGGAAAACUCACCCGGCCCGGACACUGGAAGGAUUGACAGAUUGAGAGCUCUUUCUUGAUUCAGUGGGUGGUGGUGCAUGGCCGUUCUUAGUUGGUGGAGUGAUUUGUCUGGUUAAUUCCGAUAACGAACGAGACUCUAGCCUACUAAAUAGAUCGUCGGCUUACAAACGCCGGCGAGACUUCUUAGAGGGACAGGCGGUGAUUCAACCGCACGAAACAGAGCAAUAACAGGUCUGUGAUGCCCUUAGAUGUCCGGGGCCGCACGCGCGCUACACUGAAGUGAUCAGCGUGCUUUUUCAACCUACUCUGUCAAGAGUGGGGAACCCAAUGAACCUUCUUCGUGAUUGGGAUAGGGGAUUGUAAUUAUUCCCCUUGAACGAGGAAUUCCCAGUAAGCGCGAGUCAUAAGCUCGCGUUGAUUACGUCCCUGCCCUUUGUACACACCGCCCGUCGCUACUACCGAUUGAAUGUUUU
Molecule: ribosomal RNA, 519 nt
Filed under: uncultured eukaryote
Lineage: Eukaryota
Description: SSU rRNA
Rfam family: Eukaryotic small subunit ribosomal RNA
Source: RNAcentral